Molecule: non-coding RNA, 212 nt
Submitted as: unclassified sequences
Source: Rfam
GAUCUUUGACAUAUUUGGUAAGCGAUAGUAACAAACAAGAGAUAAUCGUGUGGGGACGCACAUCCCCACCAGUGACUAACCGCCCUUCGGGGCACUAUCGUUAGCCCUAGACCUAUUGUGCUAGGGGAGAAGCCAAGGAGAGACAGCGGGUGAGUAAGCACUCCCUCUGCCCCUUGCUUGGACACUCGGCGAGCGAAACGCCCUGACGAUAC